This 163-nucleotide long non-coding RNA is filed under the name Gopherus agassizii (Agassiz's desert tortoise). Its description in RNAcentral is "lncRNA (ENSGAGG00000011935.1)". Lineage: Eukaryota; Metazoa; Chordata; Testudines; Testudinidae. The record is from RNAcentral.
CUGGAUCCUUAGGAAGGAGGGCACACAACCCCUCUACAGCUCUAAAAAGACGAAGAAAGAUCUUCUCAUUUCCAGGGUAACUGGAGACCACUUUUGCCUGCAUCUUAUUCUGCCUUUCUCCAAGUGAAAUAAACUAUACAGUUUUGCCUGUAUAACUGCUUCU